AUUGUAGGUAGGACUCUGAAGGCAAAAUU
RNAcentral lists this non-coding RNA (29 nucleotides) under Cricetulus griseus (Chinese hamster). The record is from RNAcentral. Lineage: Eukaryota; Metazoa; Chordata; Mammalia; Rodentia; Cricetidae.